CGUGUUUCCGGGCCGAUGCAUUACUCUUGCACAGUUCAAGACUCUUAUCACAAAGAAGGGAAAUUUCAAAUACUACUUCAAACGUGACAGUGAUGAGUUUGGAGAAGGUGCUGUUUUCGAAGAAAUUGGUGACGAUAAUGCAGUGUUGCCGAUGUGGCAGGAUAAAAUUGUGGCCAAAGUGGAGAAGAUCGACUAACUUCCAAGCUAAAAUGUUGUCAUGACGUUACGGGCGACGUGGCUUGGUAACAAUCAAAUGGCAAACACGAAGCAAUCUCCGUAGUUUCUUUGGAAAAAGUUGUAUUCUUUCGUUCAGGGAAUUACUUAAAGAGUACCACUCAAAGAGACGGUGAUAGUCUGCUUCAAUCAAGGUCCACAGUCAUGGCAAAUGCUUUAAACUAUGUGACUUUGGCAUCUUUUGCAACGUCACUGUGACCUCGACAACGUCACUGUGACAUCUUCAACUACAACCAAAGACCAUGCACUGACUGUGAUUUCGCAAGCUGUAUGCUUCGUUGAACAAUGAAAGCACUAAAUGGCAGAACAAACUCUGGAAUGUCCAAAGAUCAUGUGAUACAGAGAGAAUAUUUGUUUUGGUAGCACUGACAUCUGUUAUCUCCAAGAUAACCGAUUUUGGAGUGGUUAGAUUUGAAGAUGCUUUCUUUAUAUUGUGCAUGAGAAAGGUAACUUUGGCAGUGCUAUGAGAAACCAUGGACUGCCAAGAGAAAUGUGUGCUCAAAGAUUUGGUGAGAACAUUGCAGGCUUGAGAAAGACAAAUCUGAACACGUGAAGAAACUGAAGCAUUCACUUUACAGAACAGAGCUGUUCACUGUCUAUGGGCCCACAAGGUCUAAUUAACUACGAGUUAUGAUGUAAUAUAUGUACAUAGUUGUCCAAUAUUUGAAGAUUAUCUUAUUGACUCAGGGGCUGCUCAUCGAAAGUGAGCUAUUCUAUUCUGUUUUAUUGUCAAACCUACCACCCCCCUCUAUGGUUUGAACGUGGCCUCAGUGUAGAGCCCUUUAGUUGAGAAUGGUCAGCGAGGUUUUACCCACACACAGUGGUGUUUUAGCAUGUUUAUAUUACUGAAGACAAGAUAGUUGUACACUUAUUUGUGGUGAAUUAUUUAAACGGCUUAGCCAUGACAUCUUGUUGUCAGAGUAUUGUUUGUUGUAAUUUAUUUUUGUUGGCCAAUUUCAUCAUGACCCUAAACUAAACAUACACAUACCAAUUUACGUUUUUAAUCAAAAUUAGUAUCAGGGUUUUUAAUUCAAAUGCCAUUACUGAAUGCUUGCAUUUUAAACAAAUUAAAGCGUAGAAUCAAAUGUAUUUUUUGAUGUAUAAUUCAUUUUUGGCAUUUCACAUAGCGAGGUUCAUUCAUAUGCUGUAAGUGUUUUAAACUUUUGAUAAUACUCAUCCCAUCAUUCUAGUCUCCCUACCUACAUCAUUGGUUGGUUUCAACCGCAACAAUGCAUUGGGCCAGUUUAAGUCAGAGAGUAGGGUGUGCAGGUAGUUGCUAUGGCAUUAUGUGCAGUAUGUGUGAACGGGUGUAACUGUCAUGCUGUCACAGGGUACAAGCCUUACGUACAAUUCAUUUAUAAAACAUAUCAAAUGUUCAAAUGUAAAUUGAAAACUUGUACUGUAUCCUUGUCAGACUUGCAAGCAAGACAAUUGACCUUGACAUCGAUUCCCAAGGUCAGCAAGACAUGUUCAGAUGGAGUUGUGACAGGGUUGGGGGGGUGGGGGGAGGGGGAUUCUGAAUGACCUGGUUGUAUGAGGGAGUACCCUCAUUGUGUACAUGAUGAGAAGCAUAGGGUAUGUAACAUAAUCAACUUUUAAUGAAUUCUGUGCUGAAAGACUCGUAUAUUGGUCAGGAACCUGUCAGGCCACCAAUAAAAUUGACUUUCAAAGUU
Long non-coding RNA from Haliotis rubra (blacklip abalone), 1907 nucleotides. RefSeq lists it as uncharacterized. The transcript has 2 exons. Lineage: Eukaryota; Metazoa; Mollusca; Gastropoda; Lepetellida; Haliotidae. The record is from RefSeq and is a predicted model, not a curated record.